AGAAUCAACGCUGGCGGCGUGCCUAACACAUGCAAGUCGAACGAGAAAGUGGUAGCAAUACCAUGAGUAAAGUGGCGCACGGGUGAGUAACACGUGACUAACCUACCCUGGAGUGGGGGAUAACUGGGAGAAAUCCUAGCUAAUACCGCAUAAUACCUACGGGUCAAAGGAGCAAUUCGCUUCAGGAGGGGGUCGCGGCCGAUUAGUUAGUUGGCGGGGUAAUGGCCCACCAAGACGAUGAUCGGUA
Molecule: ribosomal RNA, 247 nt
Filed under: uncultured bacterium
Lineage: Bacteria
Description: partial small subunit ribosomal RNA
Rfam family: Bacterial small subunit ribosomal RNA
Source: RNAcentral